RNAcentral lists this ribosomal RNA (804 nucleotides) under uncultured bacterium. Its description in RNAcentral is "bacterial SSU rRNA". It matches the Rfam family "Bacterial small subunit ribosomal RNA", at positions 338 to 1154 of the family's 1533-position model. The record is from RNAcentral.
CCUACGGGGGGCAGCAGUAGGGAAUAUUGCGCAAUGGGCGGAAGCCUGACGCAGCGACGCCGCGUGAGCGAAGAAGGCCUUCGGGUCGUAAAGCUCUGUCCUUGGGGAAGAAGGCGAAAGCUUGACGGUACCCAAGAAGAAAGCCCCGGCUAACUACGUGCCAGCAGCCGCGGUAAUACGUAGGGGGCGAGCGUUGUCCGGAAUUACUGGGCGUAAAGGGUGCGUAGGCGGCCUUUUAAGUCAGAUGUGAAAGGCUGCGGCUUAACCGCAGGACUGCAUUUGAAACUGGAAGGCUUGAGUGUCGGAGAGGGUAGUGGAAUUCCCAGUGUAGCGGUGAAAUGCGUAGAUAUUGGGAGGAACACCAGUGGCGAAGGCGACUACCUGGACGAUAACUGACGCUGAGGCACGAAAGCUAGGGGAGCAAACAGGAUUAGAUACCCUGGUAGUCCUAGCCGUAAACGAUGGGUACUAGGUGUAGGUGGUUUCGAUACCAUCUGUGCCGCAGUUAACGCAAUAAGUACCCCGCCUGGGGAGUACGGUCGCAAGACUGAAACUCAAAGGAAUUGACGGGGGCCCGCACAAGCGGUGGAGCAUGUGGUUUAAUUCGAAGCAACGCGAAGAACCUUACCAGGUCUUGACAUCCCUGGACAGCCAUGGAAACAUGGUGUUCCUUCGGGACCAGGAGACAGGUGGUGCAUGGUUGUCGUCAGCUCGUGUCGUGAGAUGUUGGGUUAAGUCCCGCAACGAGCGCAACCCUUGCCUUUAGUUGCCAGCAUUAAGUUGGGGACUCUAAAGGGACUGCCG